Molecule: long non-coding RNA, 6416 nt
Filed under: Ananas comosus (pineapple)
Lineage: Eukaryota; Viridiplantae; Streptophyta; Magnoliopsida; Poales; Bromeliaceae
Description: long non-coding RNA (ACOM_LNC019981)
Source: RNAcentral
UUCCUUACAGCCACCUCUCCCUACUUUCUUAUUUCUCUUCCUCACACACUCUCUCUUCUUUUUCUCUCUAAAAGGUGAGAAAAUUCUAAUAUUUCCGUUAUUUGAUCCUUUUUGAUUCAUCUCUAGAAUCCUCCUUGAAAGAAGAAGAUAAGGAUAAGGCUUUUUCGAUCGAUUAUAGAGUCAGGUUUUCUCCUUAUUUUCCAUGGGCUACUCUCUGUCACGCCCCGGGACCGGCAGGGGCCCUCCCGGUAGCGUGCCCAGACCCGCCAUAUGUCAGCACAUAUAAGGCGUCUACAACAACAGCGAAAAAUAAAACCAAAAGUAAUCUACAUCUAGAGAUAUCAGAGCACAGAUAGAUCUAUAGUCUAUAACAAGGUAAAAGAGGUAUACUAAAGCAAAACGAGUGAAACAUAAAGAUAUACAAUAUCUGUCCAAAAAGGUACACAAAAGGGUGGUCUCUAGUACACUGGUACAGCUCUCAACCUCUCCAAAAUAAAAAUAUCGAGAGGUAGACCACCUAGCGACUCGUCACUCGCUGAAGAGCUAGCUCGAAGCCACGCCCUUCCCUCGGUCCCUAGCCUCUCCCGGCGUGGAAGGCUCUGAAAGAAAACAUAAAACAGAGGGCGUGAGAACUAUAAUUUAUAGUUCCCAGUGGGCAAUUACUGACCUCAGCUCAAUGCACCACUAGGCCCCAAAAGAAAAGGGUAAGUAACGACAAUAAUAACAAACAAUAAAGAGCGAGUAUAAGAACUGCUGAAAGAAAGCAUAAAUGAAAUGCUAUACUACUAUGUCUCAAGUAAGCAUGAUGUCAUGGUGAUGUACAUCUACGCUAUCAUAAGAUAAUAUGUCCAAUGCAUACUAAUAUGCCAUAACAUAAUAAACAAGUAAACCUCACGAUGCAAUAUGUCAAUGCAUAAGGAGUAAGCUCUAUCAAAGCAACCCAGUAUACUAUGAUGCAAUGAAUGAAACAGGCAAGUAUACUAUAUAUCCCAAUGCUAUGUCAUGAGCAUGUCAAGUAAUCCAACUACUAAGCCUAUCUAGUAGUGAUUAUUCAUUCUCAACACUGUGUCGAUUUCCAUUUCCAAUUAAGGACCUACCAAAGGUAGUCCAGCUUGUGCCGCCUAAGUGCCUGUGGUAGCCCAACAUCCCUACUCUUGGAAUGUGUCUGUCCCACUCGACCCCGUAGGCUUCUCAAUACCGCACGAGCGAACAUAAGUCGCGUAGGCUAACUCCGGAGUGCCGGCUUGUAGGGAGCGACCCUCACAAGCAUGUGCGAAUGAGCACAAAUGGCAAGCAAGCAUAGUCCAAGUCUCAAGUAUCCAAUCCUCAUGUCUCUAACAUGGUAUAGUCACUAGCAUCUCGAAGAUCUAGUUCUAUGUCACAAAGUGAAGUUCCAAUGUUCUCUAGGUCUAGUGCCCCUUUAUGACACUUAGACAUUCAAUAUUUAAGCAUGUUCCACGUUCCUCAAUGGCCCUAUCCACUAGGUUCACACAUGUCCCGAGCUCAAUGCCGCUUGAUGACAUUAGCUCUCUAAUUCACAUACCUUCUAAAUGACAAUCUUGUCAAUUUUCAUGUCACAAGUAAAUGUAGGUUUACAUGCAUGAAUCCGAACUCAUUUAUACUAUAGAAGCAUGAUACCACGUCUCAUAUAGAAUGCUAAAUGCAACUAUGGCCUAAUAAGCUACUCUCUACUACAUAGAGGUCCAAAAUUUCAUCAUAUAUAACAUAGGCCUUUUAAGCAUUCUAAAAUUCACAAUAAAUACAUAUAACAAGAAUAUGUAUGCUUUUUCAUUUUACAACGCUUAAAUCAUCAACAAUGAGGUUUUCUCAUUGUGUGGCUAGGACAAACCCACCGAACCGUCACGUAGUGCCUCGAUCCGCCGAACGGAGUUGUCCACGAGUCUCCUAAUACCCUAAAAGUAUUCAGCGAAGAGAUACAAGGGCAUUACGAUCAACCAUUAGGUCAAACGUUAACAAACAAGGCAAAAGGGCUAAAACUCACCUCAAGAGAAGAAAUCUCUUCCAAAGCUCCAAAAGAGAGCUAGAACCCUUCCAAUCCAAGCCCAAGGAAGGUUCUAAACCAAAGAAUCUAGCCUCAAAAGCCCAAGAUUCAAAAUGCCCAAAGUUAACCCUAAAAUCCCAUUCUAGGGUUCCACCUACUAAAAAUCCUCAAAUCAAGAUCUAGAGGAAGGAAAUGAGCAACUAACCUCCUUAGAAGCUCCAAUCCAAGCUCCAAGGGUGAAGAUCUUCUCUCUUGCAAGCUCCAAGUCCAAGCCUUCAAGCACCAACGAAGUAGAGAGGGUGAGGAAGAUGCCCCAAGUCCACUAUUGCUCUCAAUCUUCUUCUUCCUUCCUUCUUCUCCUUCUCCUUCUUCUUCUUCUUCUCUAUCAAGGGUGUGGAAAGAGUUGAGAGAAGAGAAAUGAGGAGAAGAGAGAGUGGAUGGGUCAUAUAGACCAUCUAUUGCAACAAAAUCCAGCUAGGUUCCUCAAAAAUACAAAAUUGCAUCAGCCCGGUCUGGGCAAUUUUCGCCCAGAGGGACCGGUCUCUCCCCAGCAGGGACCGGUCUCUCGUGUCGCACCCGAGAAACCGUCGUUCGGGAACCGGUCUCUCCCUGCGCGGGACCGGUCUCUCACUGCGAAGACGCGCUCGGGGACCGGUCUCGCCCGCCAGGGACCGGUUGCCUCGCCGACAGCGCAACACUGCUCACUGGGGGACCGGUCUCUCCUACCAGGGACCGGUCCCCGAGAGUGAAAACUCUCAGGACUCGUCCAAAACUCGAGUUUUCGAACUUUUUAGGUCGGAAAACAUUCUACGACCCUCCACCAAGUGUGGAAGAGCUCGAAACACAUCCAAUCACUCGAACCUCGCAAUUUGCAAAGGUCCAGUGUGCUACACUCUCUUUCCUCACUAUAUGCCCAAGCCAAGUUUUUUCUCUCUGUGCUUGCAAAAUCAUGGUCGAAGUAGUUUGAGUCGGCGGCUUUCCUAGGAUUCCUUCAUCUGGGAUCCCUAGGGAAGAGGAUCAAGUUUGCUCGUGCAAAUAGCUUGAUGCACUGUCUUCUUUCCAUUCUUUGAGCGAAAUGUGGCAAAAUGAAGGAAACUAAAGAUUGUGAGGCCUUUCUACUACAUCAUAAUAAACUGGAAUUAGAUCUUGGAAAUGAUCGAUCCAAUAGAUGCUCAUCAUAAGCUUUUUUUUUCCCCUCCUAUUCGUAUUAAUCAAGUAAGCUAGGAAUUAUUUAUAUAAAGUAAGGCAUAAUGAUAGACUUUUGAGAAUAAGAAAGAAAGAGAAUGAGAAUAAGAAUAGACUCGUCUUCAGCCUUGAUGGCUGCAAGCGAAAUGGCUGCUCCCUAAGAAAGAGGUUUUCUCCUUAGGAAACCCCCUCACUUCUUUGCUACCGCUCAGGGAAAGCUUGAUUCGGGCUUGGGAGUAUGGAGAAGGCUGAGAGAACCAAAGAGAAGCUCUAGAAAGGAGAAGACAAGUACCAACCUAUAUUUCUUUGCUUGGAGAGGAAGAGGUGAGAUGAAGUUUUAGGGUUUGAUUUUUAGAGGUUUUCUAAAUGGAAGAUUUAUAUAGAGAGUCUACUUUGGUUAGGACUCUCUCUUAAAGAUAUCUUGGGGUUAACUAAAGAGAUCAAGAACCUGCUAGAUGUAUGCUCUAGAAGCCAACCAGGCCGACACAAAUAUUCUUUCUAGGACAUAAAUUUGUAUUUGAUUUUAAAAUAUUAUGAAUAUAUUUGGGUUUUUAUUUCCAUUCAUGUUGUGUAUGUGUCCAUGAAUCGUCCAAGGAAUUAAUAAGAUGAUGACAUAUAUUCUCAAGAGUUGAGAAUUUGAGACAUGUGUCAUUGAUGGUUAAUUCCGAAAUGCUCCCGAUUAAUGGAUCAUCACGGAGACAGUGAUUGAACCAGUGAGAUUGNUCGGUAAUCACUUUCUUUUUCCUUCGAUUUGUAAGUAUUCAUUAUACUAAGUAAAAUCUAGUAUAUGUAACGUAGGUAGAGAAUGUAAAUCCUAAGAAACGUAAAGUAAUGUAUUAAAGUAGUAAAGAAAGAAUGUAGUGUAAAUGGAGUUUUAUUCGAAAUGUAAAAAAAGAGAUGUAGUAAAUGGUAGUACAUGUUUUCUACUAGUAUCCCAUGAAAUGAUGUUUUACUUUGGGUUAAAACCACCGGAGACUGAUUCCGCGCUAUGGAAAUGGAGCCAGCGAGCGGCCGAGCGAGCCAGGGCCGAGACACCUUUAUCACCCCACUCUUGAUGUUGUUUCAAGGGUCACCCAAGCCGGAGUUGUAGUGGCUGAAAGGGUGAUCCUGAUUGAGUCCGUAUUAUCUUUCUUAUUCAUUGCUUACCCUCGUGUAAGCCGUUUGUGUAUGUUUCCGCUAGUGCUUUUCUCUUUUGAUGAAAAUGUACAUGUGAUGAGCCUUGGGCGGAUAGGAAAAACUCUGUCCGUUCGGCGUCUGUUUGACGUGCUCGGGUCGGGCCAAAUUGGCGUCGGUCCCGGGGCGUGACAAGCUGAGUUGCAUUUUUGCUUAAGUGCUGAAGUUUUGGAUGCAGGUUCUGCGCAUCUAGAAGUUGGGUCCGAAUUGGUAUGAGGGCUUUUUGGUGAUCAGUUCGAGCUCAAUUUUGGUGAGGAACCUAGAGAAUUUAUCUUUAGUCUUUUGAGGUGAGUUGGAUAAAGUUUCACUGCAUUUGGACUUCGAAAUUGGGUUAAAUUCCAUGUUGGAACCUUGUAGGCUGAAGCUGCCAGCUUGCUGUUCUGGAUCCUUGAUCUGGGCGCCCUGAAGUUGCUGCAGGAGGAUCCAGAUCUGGACAACAGCCUGGUUUAGCUUGUUUUGAGGCUGAUCUUUUGCAAGGUUUUCUCCAUCGACUUCUAGCCAUUGUUGGACUAGCAUUUCAGGUGGAUUGAUAUUGUCCGAAGCCUUCAGAAUGACUCCUAAGCAUAUGAAAUCCCAGCAUGCAUAGUUUUACAUAUACUCAUCUUGUUUGAUAGCUCAAAUUGUAGAUUUACAUGUUAUUAAUGAAAUCUAAAUUUUGGAGCAUACUUAGUUAAUUUAUGAUGAUUAUUAUCUGCUGAACUGGGAUUUGACUUAGGAGAAAACUUAUUAAACCUACACCUGUCACUUUUCGAAAAGUUACCAGAUUUAGCUUUAGGAGCUGAUUUUUCUUGUGUAUCGCCGCUAUUAGUGCGUCGUGGAUACUUAGACUAGUGUAGGUUGAGAUUAUGCUCGUGCUGAGGGACCGAGCUCGUUUUUACAGCAGAGAUAGGCUGUUUUGUACUAUCGAGUAUCGUCGGGGCUGACAGUGGACCCAAAUUCUUACAUCUUGUAUCAGAUUGUGCCAAGGGCACGUGAGCCUUGGUUGUUAGACCAGUUUAACCCAUUUGUAUUGACUAUAGCCUGUGUGAGCUUGAUUUUGCUUGUGAUGCAUGUAUAUGUCUACAGAGAGCAUGUUAUGGAUAGCGAUAGUAUAGUGGCUUUUAGUUGUAGAGUUUUUUUUAGCUUAAUUUACUAUCCCUUUACCUAUCUGUUUACUUCUCGUACUGUAGACUUAGUGGGUAGGCCGAUGGGGUCGGUGACGGUACCCACUGAGGACUACUCUAUUUUGCAAUAGUUCUCACACCCAUUGUUGCCAUUUUUUCUUUGCAGAGCCUUCAGUUGCUGCUGCUGCUACUGCUGAUUGAGGUAAGGGAGUCACGGACUAGAUCUCUAUCCUUUCCGGUCACCUUACCAGUGGAGUACCCAUGCCAGAGGUAGUUUUGGAUGUUCCCAUGUACAUACAGUUGUAUUUAGCUUUACUCUCUGAGAGAUGUGGAUGUAUUUUGGAUGUUGGAUAGUCAGGGUUAUAUUUUGGAAUUUGUAUGUACAGUGGGCCUUUGUAUGUAUAUAUAUAUAUAUAUAUAUAUAUAUAUAUAUAUAUAUANCAAAAGGAGUAAGCUCUAUCAAAGCAACCCAGUAUACUAUGAUGCAAUGAAUGAAACAAGCAAGUAUACUAUAUAUCCCAAUGCUAUAUCAUGAGCAUGUCAAGUAAUCCAACUACUAAGCCUAUCUAGUAGUGAUUAGUCAUUCUCAACACUGUGUCGAUUUCUAUUUUCAAUUAAGGACCUACCACAGGUAGCACAGCUUGUGCCGCCUAAGUGCCUGUGGUAGCCCAAAAUCCCUACUCUUGGAAUGUGUCUGUCCCACUCGACCCCGUAGGCUUCUCAAUACCGUACGAGCGAACAUAAGUCGCGUAGGCUAACUCCGGAGUGCCGGCUUGUAGGGAGCGACCCUCACAAGCAUGUGCGAAUGAGCACAAAUGGCAAGCAAGCGUAGUCCAAGUCUCAAGUAUCCAAUCCUCAUGUCUCUAACAUGGUAUAGUCACUAGCAUCUCGAAGAUCUAGUUCUAUGUCACAAAGUGAAGUUCCAAUGUUCUCUAGGUCUAGUGCCCCUUUAU